Non-coding RNA from Rattus norvegicus (Norway rat), 1238 nucleotides. The record is from RefSeq and is a predicted model, not a curated record. NCBI's taxonomy places the organism in Eukaryota, Metazoa, Chordata, Mammalia, Rodentia, Muridae.
GCCUUCUCACUGACUCCAAAAGUGGGCUCACUUUUACUCAGUAUUUAGUGUGCCUUUCUGUGUGUGGAGGGCAGAUGACCCCUCUCUCCUUCCACCCUAGCUGGGUUCCAGAGAUUGAACUUAAGGUGCCAAACUUAUGUGGAGAGUGCCUUUACCCACUGACCAGAUUCACCAGUUCAGUCAGAAUUGGGCUGUGUGUGUGUGUGUGUGUGUGUGUGUGUGUGUCUGUGUGUGUGUCUGUGUGUGUGUGUUAGUUAAGAUGUCAGGUGAGAGGUCAGAGAAAGAAAAGACAGGCAGGGAAACUAGCCCUCUUGGAGAAACUAACGCACUUGGGGGAAACUAGCCAGCUUGGGGAAACUUCUGGAAAGAGCUGAGGAGGGGAGAGGGGAGAUCUCUAACUCAAGACUCCAGCCAGCUCAGAGUCAGCUUACAUCAGCGUGCAGACUGCCCUAGUUAAAGCGCAGGCAGAGGGAACAGGGAAAGAGAAGGAAGACUUUCCUUCUUUGGCCUCGGUUGACCUUUGCAGGGUUAAUGAGGGACUUCUGAAUUAGGUAUGUUAGCCAGGUGAUUACUAAACACCUCUGGUGGUUGGCCAUUCCUGGGUUGAGAGGGCAGGGAGGACAAAAAAAAAAAAAAAAAAAAUCUAGAGAAGCGAGUUCCUUAAGUUUCAGGAACCAAAUUACUUUCUGAGAAUCGGCAUUGUUAAACCAACAUAGGGUUCCUAUAUAAAAUGACGUGACAGUACUCCAGUAAUGUUCUUGAAGCAUCCACACCACUGUGUCCUCUGCUCUGCUGCUUGGCGAUCGGGUUCCUACUUUGGCAGGAAGGACUGAAUGUCUUGGCUCUCCCUACCCUGCAGAUUAGCCAACCUCAGACAAGCUCUCUUAAUCACCGUUCCAUGCCGAGGAAGGAAAAUGGACCCAUUAUUCGGAGGAGUAAAACUGACUUUUUAGCCAUGUACAUGGACAUGGUAGUGGUUUGAAUGAAAAUGUCUCCUCUAGGCUCAGAUAUCUCAAUGCUUAGCCUCUAGUGGCUUAGGAAGUGUGGCCCUUGCUGGAGGAGGUGUGUCCCUAGGAAUGGACUUUGGAAUCUAUAUAUAGUUUGUUUUCUCUGUUUAGAAGAUGUGAGCUCUCAGCUCCUUUCUUUGGCUCCCCGCCUGUCUUCUGCAAUGCUUUCCCAACAUAAUGGACCCUCAUCUUGCUGGAAACUUAAGCCAAAAUAAACUCCUUUUAAAAGGU